CACUCCUGCGGGAGGCAGCAGUGGGGAAUAUUGGACAAUGGGCGCAAGCCUGAUCCAGCCAUGCCGCGUGAGUGAUGAAGGCCCUAGGGUUGUAAAGCUCUUUCACCGGUGAAGAUAAUGACGGUAACCGGAGAAGAAGCCCCGGCUAACUUCGUGCCAGCAGCCGCGGUAAUACGAAGGGGGCUAGCGUUGUUCGGAUUUACUGGGCGUAAAGCGCACGUAGGCGGACUAUUAAGUCAGGGGUGAAAUCCCGGGGCUCAACCCCGGAACUGCCUUUGAUACUGGUAGUCUUGAGUUCGAGAGAGGUGAGUGGAAUUCCGAGUGUAGAGGUGAAAUUCGUAGAUAUUCGGAGGAACACCAGUGGCGAAGGCGGCUCACUGGCUCGAUACUGACGCUGAGGUGCGAAAGCGUGGGGAGCAAACAGGAUUAGAAACCCUUGUAGUCCC
Molecule: ribosomal RNA, 446 nt
Filed under: uncultured organism
Description: partial 16S ribosomal RNA
Rfam family: Bacterial small subunit ribosomal RNA
Source: RNAcentral